Poecilia reticulata (guppy) is the source of this 1556-nucleotide non-coding RNA. Lineage: Eukaryota; Metazoa; Chordata; Actinopteri; Cyprinodontiformes; Poeciliidae. The record is from RefSeq and is a predicted model, not a curated record.
CUCUGCACGUGACGUCACUAUCUUCAAAACUCCGCCCGCUCCGCCAUGACGGACGUCAAAACAACCUAUGCACUCCUGUAAAACCUGUCAAAAAACGCACAUCUGGUAGCCUAGUGUCGCUUUUAUUGAGUUGAACAGUAGAAAUGGUCAAAGAAAAUGCGCGGUCGGCUGCAGAGAAAGACAAGGAUACAAACCAAACUUGGCAUUUUAAAACUUUUAACGAGGAAAGAUACGGUGGUGAUGAUGGAUAGCUGCUGUCAAUCAUAAUGACUUGCUCAGCCGUCGCGGAUUUACAGCGAACACUUUUUAUAAGGUUAGAGACAGAGACACAGGCACGCAGCCAGCCAGGAGACAUCUGCACUCUUGGUCCGCCAUGCGGCCUGUCUUCAACAUACCCAAGAAAGAGAGAAAAAGUUAGCUCUUGUCUUCAUCUUGAAGGAGUCCCAGGCGAAAGGAUUUGGUUUUCCCUUCUGUGGUGAUCAAUCAGCGUCAGCAUCUCCGGAUGUUCCUCGUAGUCCUUUCUUGGAUGCAGGUGCAGCUCCAGAAAGGUGGACUCAGAGGAACGAAUUUCAGUACCCACAAUCUCCUGAACUACAAUCAGGGGAAGAACUAGGAGUCAUCUUUCUGGAUCUCAACGGUCGCUAGUAACCAUCACUCUUAUUGUUGGAAGAGCAAAACAGUCUUCAACCUCCAGAGAAGCGUGAUGGAUAACUUGUUAGUAAUGUAGAUCAGCUAUGUUGUGAUAGUCCGAUGCUACAAGAGUGCGGCAGAUCUCAAUUUUAGGCUCUCAGUGGUUGAGAUCUAUGAUUGUUGUCAGGCCAGGGUUUCUUGGCACCACCAUACUCUAACACUAGUUCCACAAUCCUUUUGUCUCUACAUCUUUGGAAGCCUUACAAAUGUUCACCUACACCCUUGAACUUUAUAUCCGUCAUCAGCUGAGUCAGCCAGGAACUGAUUCAUUCAACCGUGUAUGGUUCGGUUUCAAAUGGGAUCAAAGAAAAUCUUUAAGUGGUGGGUUCUCCUAAUAUUACUAUUUAGGGAAUACAGUUGUUUCGAAUAUUUAUUUUUUUUUAAAAACAAACGAGACAUGUUUGGACUUUAAAUGACUGAGCAAACACUGCUGACAUGAAAGUAAUUAAAGAUUAAAUGCAAGCUGACACAUCUGUUGACGUAUCCAACUGAGAACCCCCGAGCUCCACGAGAGAAAAAAAAACACAAAGAACACUUUAGCUUUUCAGCUCUUGACAGAUUUGCACGACUUAGCGGACCGAGAGUUCCUGAAUGUGGCAUCAACAUCAUUCAUCAAAAUCACUCUGUCGACGCUGCAGCCCGACUCCAUUUACUCUCCCCGAAAUCAUGCAGUGCUGCCCCGGCUCCGGGCAGGAAAUCACAUCCAAACAAACCGAUGCAGCCAAACACCUUGUGGCAUGUGGGUCACUGUGCGAACGCGUUCAGCGUGAGAUGCAACAAAUUGCGGAAUUUAUUGGUGGAAUCCACCUAUGAGAGAGUGUCAAAGCCUUGAUAUCCACAAGCAUUUCCUCUGGUGAGAGUCUAGA